RNAcentral lists this ribosomal RNA (253 nucleotides) under uncultured bacterium. RNAcentral describes it as "partial 16S ribosomal RNA". It matches the Rfam family "Bacterial small subunit ribosomal RNA", at positions 524 to 776 of the family's 1533-position model. The record is from RNAcentral.
UACGUAGGGGGCAAGCGUUGUCCGGAAUCAUUGGGCGUAAAGAGCGUGUAGGCGGCUCGAUAAGUCCGCUGUGAAAGUCCAGGGCUCAACCCUGGAAGGCCGGUGGAAACUGUCGGGCUAGAGUCCGGAAGAGGCGAGUGGAAUUCCCGGUGUAGCGGUGAAAUGCGCAGAUAUCGGGAGGAACACCAAUGGCGAAGGCAGCUCGCUGGGACGGUACUGACGCUGAGACGCGAAAGCGUGGGGAGCAAACAGG